RNAcentral lists this ribosomal RNA (900 nucleotides) under uncultured archaeon. Its description in RNAcentral is "bacterial SSU rRNA". It matches the Rfam family "Archaeal small subunit ribosomal RNA", at positions 16 to 922 of the family's 1478-position model. The record is from RNAcentral.
GCCGGACCUGACUGCUAUCGGAUUGAUACUAAGCCAUGCGAGUCAUUGUAGCAAUACAAGGCAUACGGCUCAGUAACGCGUAGUCAACCUAACCUAUGGACGGGAAUAACCUCGGGAAACUGAGAAUAAUACCCGAUAGAACAUUAUACCUGGAAUGGUUUAUGUUCCAAAUGAUUUAUCGCCGUAGGAUGGGACUGCGGCCUAUCAGUUUGUUGGUGAGGUAAUGGCCCACCAAGACUAUUACAGGUACGGGCUCUGAGAGGAGUAGCCCGGAGAUGGGUACUGAGACACGGACCCAGGCCCUAUGGGGCGCAGCAGGCGAGAAAACUUUGCAAUGUGCGAAAGCACGACAAGGUUAAUCCGAGUGAUUUCUGCUAAAGAAAUCUUUUGUUAGUCCUAGAAACACUAACGAAUAAGGGGUGGGCAAGUUCUGGUGUCAGCCGCCGCGGUAAAACCAGCACCUCAAGUGGUCAGGAUGAUUAUUGGGCCUAAAGCAUCCGUAGCCGGCUCUGUAAGUUUUCGGUUAAAUCUGUACGCUUAACGUACAGGCUGCCGGGAAUACUGCAUAGCUAGGGAGUGGGAGAAGUAGACGGUACUCGGUAGGAAGUGGUAAAAUGCUUUGAUCUAUCGAUGACCACCUGUGGCGAAGGCGGUCUACUAGAACACGUCCGACGGUGAGGGAUGAAAGCUGGGGGAGCAAACCGGAUUAGAUACCCGGGUAGUCCCAGCUGUAAACUAUGCAAACUCAGUGAUGCAUUGGCUUGUGGCCAAUGCAGUGCUGCAGGGAAGCCGUUAAGUUUGCCGCCUGGGAAGUACGUACGCAAGUAUGAAACUUAAAGGAAUUGGCGGGGGAGCACCACAAGGGGUGAAGCCUGCGGUUCAAUUGGAUUCAACGCCGGA